GCGAAGAACACCUCAAUCGGACAUCCGACCAGAAAGUUAUUGCAGUUUUACUAUAGCAGUUUUUCAGUCUCAUAAUUCUGUGCAGAAUCUGUUCUCUUAAGAUUUAGGCAAUUUUAUCAACAGAAUUAAACUGUGGGUUGGUAAAAGAAGUUGUAGAUAAUUUUAUAAGCUUUCCAGAUUGUUAAAGAGUGCAUUCAUAUGAUUUGUGAAACUCCAGUUAUGUUUGUUUUACUGUGGCUGUUCCUGUUUACCUGACAAAAAUGAGUGGGUUUGUUCACUGGUGGGUUUCAUCUAGUAAAUGGCCGAAUUGGCUCUUCCAACUAUGAAGACUUUUGUAGAGGGAUAAAAGUUCUUACUUCCAGCAGAAUUGCAUAAUUUUUGGUUCAGCAGUUUUGAAGAUAUCGAAUUUUAAAGUUAACCAUACUGCUGUCUAAAACAGAUUCAGUCCGUUAUCUUGUCAGAUGUUUUAGAACUUGUAGAUGGCAGAAUUUAAUUAUCUAUUGAAUACUGAAGUUGUAGAGUAUUUUGUGUAGAUACUCCUAGAGUAUUUGUUUGAUAUCACCGCUGUUUUAAUUUUAAAGAUACAAAAUUAACAAACAGCGUUGCUGCUGUAUGACAUGUGGUUCAGGGUGGGAGUCUUUCCACUGGGUCUUGGUUUCAAGUGUAGGAGUGUUUUGUUGAUUGAUGGCAAAUGUUUGUGAAAUAUUUGUACUAAGUUUUAUGCCCACUAGCAGGUGGCUACACUCCAGAUCAUGUCUAGUACAUUUCUUCUUCUUCGAUGAAGGCAAGUGAAUGUAGCGGUGGUUGCUUCCGUUCUGACCUGUUAUUUCUAUCGCCUACACUCUAAUAUUCAGAAGUAUCAGAUUCUUUCAUAAUUGGACUCUAUGGUGAUGCUUUACUUGCUUGCAUUAUACUGAUGCUCAAUCAUAUAUUGAUGAUGAUUAUGAUUUGAGUAUGACUCAUGAGAUUAAUUCACACCCCUGAAGGUAAAUGAAGUAUUAUUUGAGGUUGGUAUUGUAUCUGAAGGUAAAUGAAGUAUUAUUUGAGGUUUGUGUUGUAUCUGAAGGAAGUGAAGUUUAUUGAUAAAUGUAGCAUGCCAUAUACAUUGCAUGACUCAUUUGCAUAUGAAGUUUUGUCGUGACCUAUGGUCCGACCGUACCGGUACAACUUAGCAUCGUACGUUGCCCGAGAAGGGGUACGAUGCGGCUUCAUACCCUUAGAGGUAUGAAGGCAGAGGACAUAUGCAUUGCAUUCAUAUGCAUUCAUUGAAGUGAUAUUUGCAGAUGAUGUGGUUUUAUACCCCCAGAGGUAUGAAGAUAGAGUACCUACACAUUGCAUUCCUAUGCAUACAUUGAAGUGAUAUUUGCAGGUAUUGUUGACGCAGGGAAGUGUUAUAGAACCUAUUGUGGUUGUUCGAGGAAAUGAGAUGGUAUUGGUUAUAGUGGGACUACUGAGUUCUAUAUCUACAAGCAUUUCUGAUUUUUAAUUGUGACUCUUUUAAAAUGUUGAUGAAUUCAAUUUGUGGUUUAAAUAUCUCGUCAGAACAAUUAGCUUGCUGAGAUGUUUCAUCUCACUCUUGCAUUACUCAAUGCAGGUGCUUGUUGCUCAUCAAGGGGAGUGGGAAGUAGCAGCACAUCCACCUUCAUUCUCAUAAUAAUGCUGCCCAGACGCAGCCAUGAUUUAAUUAGAAACUUCUUGUCAAAGGAUGUUUGUUUUUAACUAGUCGUGCGCACUGAUUAAUUCAGUUCAUGUUGUUAUGGUUGUCUUCCCAUUGCUAGCAGAUUAUUAAUGUCUUAUAUGUUUUCUUAUCAUGAUAUCUAUUUAUACUUUGUUGCUUCCCCCAUUUAUGCAAUUUUCAAAGGAGAUGCUGUCGAAAUUUUAUAUAUGAAUAUUAGAUGUGUAGUUUAGUAGCAUUCUGGGGUGUUUGUGGAUCCCGGGGUGUUACAGUUGGUAUCAGAGCUAGGCUUUAGAUUCUUGGCAAUUUGAAGAUAAAUUUGACACACUUGCACAUAUAGGAAGGGUAUGGGUUCAAAUAUCUUUGAUAUAUAUUAAUGUCUUUGGAGUGCAGAUGACAAUAGUUUCACCCCUCCCUAUUCCUUUACGGUGAUGUGGUAAGUUGUUUAUGGCUUAAUGCUUGAUAUAAUUUAUUUCUGAAAUUUUGAUAUUGUUUUAUUAAUGCGGUAGAUAUCGCUGGUCAUUGGUGAGAAUGAAGUUGUUAUUAUGCUUGUGAUAUACAAGUAUGCCUAUGUUGUUUUCACCAUGUUUUUCAUGGUUGAGUUUUAUUACAAUAAUAUUGUUAUAUAUGCUUGAUUGUGGAUGUUUCUAAGAGGAGUGUGAAUUGCGUGUUUUGGGGUACAAGGUAAUCAUCAAUUUGAAUUUAAGUUGUUGAGCGGUUGGUGGAUAGCUCCAACUAUCAUUGCAAAAAAAAUUGUUUAUGUUGAGAAACCAGUUUUGAAAGAAAUGAAUAUUGGUACUUUAUAUGGAUUUUUGGGGGAAGUCUUUUCAUAGCCAGAAUGGCUUAUAUGUCUCUCUCAUAUUGUGUGUUUUAGUUGCCACAAAGCCUAGAUGUGGUUUAAAGUGGUUGCCUGUUAGUCAUACUAAUUGUAGAAUAAAUCUUUGAUUCUCUUGAUCCAUUGAUUAUGUAUUGAUACAUUGAGGAUCUGAUGGUUCCCUUUUCGAUGCAUGCUUGUGGAGCCAUUUUUUUUAGACCACCUAUCUAUUGGUUUGAAGGAAGUCCUUGCCUAGCCUAGAGUUGGUUGGGUGUGGCUAGUCACCUAUUCCUAGAUCAUGUGGUGUUUACAUCAGCUUAAUAUGUUUGUCAAAUGUGUGAAGGAUUAGGGGUUAUUAUUAUUGACUUUGUAUGUCUGGUACUUUGAGUGCAUCGUAUGAUAGAAUGAAAUGUAGGUUUCUGAACUACAGUAGAUGAAGACUUAUAUUAUGUGUAGGUUAUCCUUACUAGUUGGAUAUUUUUCUUAGUUGAGAUGUUGAAUGAAGUAUAGUGACAUGGGUUAAGCAAGUAUUGUGUUGUUGUUGGGCUAUCAUUGCUCUAUGUAGAGUUUUUGGCAUUUCUUCGAUGAACUAUGCCGCACAAGAUGUUAUUGGCUUCUUUUGGCUUUAUUGCUCCAUUAGUUCUAUAGAUUUUCUCCCUUUUGGUGGGGUGCAAGGAAUGUUAGAUUACAUGAUUAUCUUUUCAUGAUGGCAAGAAUAAGGUUUAGGAAGAUUAGGAGUUUUGUUCCAAUAGAACUACUUGUUUCAUAGUGCUUUAAGGUGAGGUGUUUGAUCUUCUUAUACAUUCGUCGGGUGUAGAUGUUUCACCAUUUAAUUAAAAUUAAUGGUUGAAGUUGGUAAGGGUUGUGCUUGGUGCAUAUUACCCCUUCAUAAAAGAGUGUUGUCUUAAGACAUUGAUGUUGAUGUAUAGCUGCAUCCAAAUUUGAUGGUGUGAAAUUGGAGUGUUGAUUGCAACUAUGACAUGCUUUGAGCUUCAUUACAUGUUGUUUCAUGCUUGAUGUCAGGUCGUGUAGUUUCCUUAGACAAUUAGUCCAAGGUAGAAGUUCUUGUGUUAAUUAAGACCAAUAAUGGACCCAUGUUUUGAAUUGUGGUGCUAUAUGGGGUACCUUGGGUGUUUUGCUUGGAGUGGCCGAAUUCGAGGUCGAAUUCUUUUUAAGGGGGGUAGAGUGUAAUAUCCCAAAAAAAUGUUGACCAAAAGUUAAUCUCUGGUGCGUGGAUGAGGUAAAGGGUUGUGGGCCAUUGGAUGCAAAGAUAGAAGUCAUCUGAGGCGUCGUUUCUUUCUCCCACAAAAACCCUAGGUGGCCACCCCUUUUUUUUCCCUUCACCCCCCCUCUUGGUGGCCACCCCCUUUUUCUCCCCCUUGGCUGGACGCCCCCUCCCCCUAUGGCAGCCAUCCUCCAUUGCUUCCUCCCCCAAGAUCUCCCCCUACGCAGCAAGGAUCGAGAAAAGGAGGGGCACGUUGAAUUGAAGAGGAAGAGAGGAUCAAGGAGAUGUUCUUCCCCAUCUCCUCUUGAAGAUUUCUUGGGGAAACCCUAGGUAUGGAUGAGAUCCUUGUUCCUCCCUGUAAUUAUAGGCUUUUGGAGGUUGUGGAUCAUGGGAAUUAAAGGAUUAGAGGUUGGAUUUGAUGUGGGGUUAGGUUUUGAUCUCGAAUUUAGUUUUCUGCAGAAUGGCAGAUUCGACAGUUUCUGUUCAUGCCAGUUUUCCGUGGUCUUAGUGGCCUCAAAAAAAUAAAAAGUCUAUGUAUGAGUCGUAGAUAAUUUGUAGAUCUUUCCGUGGCCGCGAAGAACACCUCAAUCGGACAUCCGACCAGAAAGUUAUUGCAGUUUUACUAUAGCAGUUUUUCAGUCUCAUAAUUCUGUGCAGAAUCUGUUCUCUUAAGAUUUAGGCAAUUUUAUCAACAGAAUUAAACUGUGGGUUGGUAAAAGAAGUUGUAGAUAAUUUUAUAAGCUUUCCAGAUUGUUAAAGAGUGCAUUCAUAUGAUUUGUGAAACUCCAGUUAUGUUUGUUUUACUGUGGCUGUUCCUGUUUACCUGACAAAAAUGAGUGGGUUUGUUCACUGGUGGGUUUCAUCUAGUAAAUGGCCGAAUUGGCUCUUUCAACUAUGAAGACUUUUGUAGAGGGAUAAAAGUUCUUACUUCCAGCAGAAUUGCAUAAUUUUUGGUUCAGCAGUUUUGAAGAUAUCGAAUUUUAAAGUUAACCAUACUGCUGUCUAAAACAGAUUCAGUCCGUUAUCUUGUCAGAUGUUUUAGAACUUGUAGAUGGCAGAAUUUAAUUAUCUAUUGAAUACUGAAGUUGUAGAGUAUUUUGUGUAGAUACUCCUAGAGUAUUUGUUUGAUAUCACCGCUGUUUUAAUUUUAAAGAUACAAAAUUAACAAACAGCGUUGCUGCUGUAUGACAUGUGGUUCAGGGUGGGAGUCUUUCCACUGGGUCUUGGUUUCAAGUGUAGGAGUGUUUUGUUGAUUGAUGGCAAAUGUUUGUGAAAUAUUUGUACUAAGUUUUAUGCCCACUAGCAGGUGGCUACACUCCAGAUCAUGUCUAGUACAUUUCUUCUUCUUCGAUGAAGGCAAGUGAAUGUAGCGGUGGUUGCUUCCGUUCUGACCUGUUAUUUCUAUCGCCUACACUCUAAUAUUCAGAAGUAUCAGAUUCUUUCAUAAUUGGAC
This 5167-nucleotide long non-coding RNA is filed under the name Zea mays. Its description in RNAcentral is "long non-coding RNA (ZMAY_LNC004457)". The record is from RNAcentral. Lineage: Eukaryota; Viridiplantae; Streptophyta; Magnoliopsida; Poales; Poaceae.